UCCCUGGUGGCUCAGAUGGUAAAGCAUCUGCCUCCAAUGCGGGAGACCCAGGUUCAAUCCCCAGCUCGGGAA
RNAcentral lists this transfer RNA (72 nucleotides) under Bos taurus (domestic cattle). It matches the Rfam family "tRNA". Rfam says of the family: Transfer RNA (tRNA) molecules are approximately 80 nucleotides in length. Their secondary structure includes four short double-helical elements and three loops (D, anti-codon, and T loops). RNAcentral also lists the same sequence under 2 other names. The record is from Rfam by way of RNAcentral. Lineage: Eukaryota; Metazoa; Chordata; Mammalia; Artiodactyla; Bovidae.